CAGCUACCACAUAUGGACAAAUUUAUACACCCGUGCGGUGGCCAAUGGUUCCAUGACUUUGCAGGUGGACAUCAAGAAAAUCCAGCUGCUGGUCCCCAAAUUGUACAUUUGGCACGACUGGAACACAUCAUAAGAAUGCUCACAAGGAACCCCAGAUGAUACCUUACAACACAAUUGCAACAGCCGCUGAAACUCAAGUUGAUCAACGUAUGAGAUUCAUUAGUAUUAAUGUUUUCCUUGGUUAACAGGGGACCAUCCAUCAAUAUUUUUUGAGAUUCUGUAUGCCCAAUAAAUUUGAUUUAUUUUUCU
This is a long non-coding RNA of Hyla sarda, 309 nucleotides long. RefSeq lists it as uncharacterized. The transcript has 3 exons. The record is from RefSeq and is a predicted model, not a curated record. Lineage: Eukaryota; Metazoa; Chordata; Amphibia; Anura; Hylidae.